UGGGGAAUUUUGGACACUGGGGGAAACCCUGAUCCAGCCAUCCCGCGUGUGCGAUGAAGGCCUUCGGGUUGUAAAGCACUUUUGGCAGGAAAGAAACGUCAUGGGUUAAUACCCCGUGAAACUGACGGUACCUGCAGAAUAAGCACCGGCUAACUACGUGCCAGCAGCCGCGGUAAUACGUAGGGUGCAAGCGUUAAUCGGAAUUACUGGGCGUAAAGCGUGCGCAGGCGGUUCGGAAAGAAAGAUGUGAAAUCCCAGAGCUCAACUUUGGAACUGCAUUUUUAACUACCGGGCUAGAGUGUGUCAGAGGGAGGUGGAAUUCGGCGUGUAGCAGUGAAAUGCGUAGAUAUGCGGAGGAACACCGAUGGCGAAGGCAGCCUCCUGGGAUAACACUGACGCUCAUGCACGAAAGCGUGGGGAGCAAACAGG
RNAcentral lists this ribosomal RNA (429 nucleotides) under Acidobacteriota bacterium. RNAcentral describes it as "Acidobacteria bacterium partial 16S ribosomal RNA". It matches the Rfam family "Bacterial small subunit ribosomal RNA", at positions 355 to 776 of the family's 1533-position model. Lineage: Bacteria; Pseudomonadati; Acidobacteriota. The record is from RNAcentral.